Podarcis lilfordi (Lilford's wall lizard) is the source of this 75-nucleotide non-coding RNA. NCBI's taxonomy places the organism in Eukaryota, Metazoa, Chordata, Lepidosauria, Squamata, Lacertidae. The record is from the annotation of a GenBank genome assembly.
GGAUGAACUGUGGCUAAGUGGCAGAAUAUUUGCUUUGCACGCAGAAGGUCCCAGGUUCAAUCCUUGGCAUCUCCA